RNAcentral lists this ribosomal RNA (475 nucleotides) under Serratia proteamaculans. RNAcentral describes it as "bacterial SSU rRNA". It matches the Rfam family "Bacterial small subunit ribosomal RNA", at positions 390 to 851 of the family's 1533-position model. The record is from RNAcentral. Lineage: Bacteria; Pseudomonadati; Pseudomonadota; Gammaproteobacteria; Enterobacterales; Yersiniaceae.
AGCCAUGCCGCGUGUGUGAAGAAGGCCUUAGGGUUGUAAAGCACUUUUAGCGAGGAGGAAGGGUUCUAGUGUUAAUAGCACUGUGCAUUGACGUUACUUGCAGAAGAAGCACCGGCUAACUCCGUGCCAGCAGCCGCGGUAAUACGGAGGAGAAAACAAGCGUUAAUCGGAAUUACUGGGCGUAAAGCGCACGCAGGCGGUUUGUUAAGUCAGAUGUGAAAUCCCCGCGCUUAACGUGGGAACUGCAUUUGAAACUGGCAAGCUAGAGUCUUGUAGAGGGGGGUAGAAUUCCAGGUGUAGCGGUGAAAUGCGUAGAGAUCUGGAGGAAUACCGGUGGCGAAGGCGGCCCCCUGGACAAAGACUGACGCUUCAGGUGCGAAAGCGUGGGGAGCAAACAGGAUUAGAUACCCUGGAAAGUCCACGCUGUAAACGAUGUCGAUUGGAGGUUGUGUCCCUCGCAGCCGCGGUUGGCCGG